UCAGCUGCCUUGGCGGAGGUCUGUGCUCUCCGAGUGCUCUAGUUGUAUAUAUGUACACGUGUGUGUGCUAUUACACAUCAUGUUAUGUUCAUGUUAGAUACACGAUGUGAUCAUAUAGUCGACUUUCCUUAGGCAUGCAGUCAUUGAUGAUAAUAUCAAACGAUUCAGAUAUUUUCCUCAUUCUCAUGUUUAAACUUACAGGAUUUUAUUGAAACACAACUAACCUCUGCACAGUUGUCGUCUGGUAGCUUAUUAUCUCUAUAAAAAGCAGUAUUAAGUGGCAAAUUCUUUGGAUCGAAGUGGCACAAAUACAUAAGGGACAGUGAAUGGAACAUGACAUUUGUAUUUUCUAUAAUUGUUGAGCAAUUCAUAGAAGCUGGCAUAUAUGUCUGCUAGUCUUUUAUAAUCAUGAAUUCACCAAUCGGUAGAAGAACCCUGGAUCUGGUAUGAAACGGUCAUACCAUGUCGUGUAUACAUGUAAGGACUACCCGUAAUAUUUUACGAAUUAUGAAUGAAGCGUGUUAUGAACACCAUCACGAUUACGUGUUUACGCUUUUACUAGCACUUAGCCUGGAGCACCGUUUUAAUUGUCAAUUGGCUCAAAAUGUUGUAAGCUGAAGAGUGAGUUAUUAUAUCGUUUGACUGUUAAGCCACCAACUGUUUUAUUACAU
Priapulus caudatus is the source of this 671-nucleotide long non-coding RNA. RefSeq lists it as uncharacterized. The transcript has 3 exons. NCBI's taxonomy places the organism in Eukaryota, Metazoa, Priapulida, Priapulimorpha, Priapulimorphida, Priapulidae. The record is from RefSeq and is a predicted model, not a curated record.